CCAGGAAAUUAUAAAAAUAUAUUAUAUGUAUUUUUUUUGUUUAUACAACUAAAAAUAAAAUAUUAAUUGCUACAUAGAAUCAAGAUUAAUGAGUUGUGAAACUCAGCUCUCUCUCUCUCUCUCUCUCAUCCUUAUCAGCAUCCGCAUGAACUCAAAGCCCUUCACCUGAAUAAGAGGAAAUUAAGCAGUACUAUCAUCAAAACACGCAUAUAUUAGCUGAAAUCAUGAUCGUAUAAUUAAAAUGGGUCCAAAUUGAUAAAUUAAAAAAAGCAAGAAUCUAGCGUGACUAUAUGGGAGAGAGAGAGACAGACAGAGGUGUAAAAAUAGUAUGCUAUAAGAAGUAAAAAGAAUAUAGUUAGAGAGGUACAGACACAAGAUAAUAAGAAUAUCUGUGUAUGUAUAUAUGUCUCCGGAGAGGAAGGAGUGAUGCUGUCAGAGCAUGACCUAGUUCGGGCUCAUUUUUCAUUUCUUUUAUAGAAACAGUUUCAUCUUCUUUCUAGAAGAAAGCGAAGAAGAAACAAACUAUCCCGACGUAGAUCAUGCUGGCAGCUUCACUUAUUCCUUUCCAAGAUACUUCAUCAAAUCAAGAAGCAGCUGCGAGCAUAUAAGAGAGAAAAGAGAGAGAGAGAGAAUUUUGUGUUUAAUUGUUGAGAGAGGUAGGAAUAGGAAUAGAUAUUUAUAGGAGGAGAAAUGAUGAAGAAGACAAACUCACAUUUCUUAACAGUAAAUUUAAGGCAUAGUCAUGUGGGCAGCUAAGAAAGAUAUAAUUAAAGGAAAUAUUUACAGCUAACAACCUAUAUGCUUCACUGCAUAGCUCUCUCUAUAGGUUUGGUUCAUAACUUUCCCACACACACACACACACACUAUUAUAUAUAUAGAUAGAUAGAUACAACAGGUGCGAGGGGGGUGGGGAUGCUUUGCUAAUCAUCAGAAUAAUAAAAAAGAAGGCAAAGGUAGGGUUUUGGUCAACUGUAAUAUGACACUUCUUGUUUGUGAAAGAGCAGAGCAGGAUAAACAAAUCAAUUCAUUUAUUGACAUAUAUCAAACAUAUAGUAUGUCUUUUUUCAUCGAGUGAUAAAUCUCACAUGUGAUUUUUUUUCUUGUUUCACGGUUAAAGCCAAGAUGUUGUUGACUUGAGAUGUAAAAGUAUUAAUCUAACUAUUUCAUACUAUUAAAAAAUAUUCUUCGCAUAACGAUACCCUCGACUUUCAAUAUACUUCAUUAUAAUAAAUUGAAUUAAUCUUAUGUUGUUAACAUCUUAAGCUUUCAUUAUAUGUCCGGAAGAAGAACAUUCUCAUGGAUUGUAACAUAUGAUACAUUUUUACGCAUGCACUUGAAGGAAGGGAAAUACAGUGGCCCACGUUUUGAGGUUCAUACGAUAAUUAUAGUAUAAUUAUUCUACAAUUUUUCAUUAGCUCACGAAUAUAGUAUGUUUUCAAUUAUAGAUGGAGAUUGUUACUUCUCCAAAUAUGCAGUCGGAGGAUAUUGCUAGUCGCCUUACACGGUUAGAAGAAGAGGUUAGUCAGGGGAUGUAAAUGCUCUCCGAGAAGUGAGGGCCUGGCCGCCCAAAAGGUUCGAAAAAGAAGCCGGUGCAGGAAGCUCCGGAAGGUAGCAUUAAAAGUCGACUCAGGAAUGCAAGUGAACUAGGCUACAAGCCGAGGGAAUUUGUAGUUGAGGGAUAAUAUUGCUCAUGGUAGUUGGUCGGAAAUGGAUUAUUAUCCAGAUUUUAGUUACUGAUUUGAUGCCUUUGUUUCUCUUUUUUCGUUUUUCGAUCCUUUUUUGAGUUUCGGACCCUUAGUUUGCUCUUUGUGCUUUCAAGGGAUGCUACUUUUUCUUUUUCUUUUUUAUAUUAAACCUCAAUUUCAUCAAUUAUAGAUGGAGAUACAACGCCGCAUCUAAGAGAUUCAGACCACUCAAGUCAGAGAUACGACUCCAGAAGAGGUACAUCACAUCUUUAAGGAGGUAGUGACGAGCGACUCAAAAGGGGUGUGGUCGGGAUGGACAUGAUGUCACAGAUGAUAUCUAGUGGAUCCAGUACUCAGUCCACUAGCAGCACGUCUCAGACUGCUCCUGCUGUUUCUCUUGAAGAGGUCGAGGCACAUAAGGCUACAUUAGAUGCGCAGGUUGCUAUAGGUGACAACCUCAAAACCCAAUUGUUAGAGCAAAAUGGCACCAUCAAUGAUUUGAAGCGUAUGAUGAUGGAGUGGAUGGCACAAACACGGAGGGUAUUAAUUGUUGAUGCAACUUGUAUUUUGAAUUUAUGUUGUCAUUAGAGUUUGAAUUCAAAUUCUUAGUUUAAUUUAAGCCUGUGAUAUGAAUUUGGAUGCUUAUUUGUAGUUUGAAUUUGAAUAUUUAAUUAUUAUUAGUAUGUUUGAAUUGAUGUUUAAUUGAUAAUUUUAUUGAUACAACAGGUUUAUACAGUUAAAAUUAAAUAAAUAAAUAAAUUUUCGACAGAUUAAUGAAUGAAAAGAAAAUACACAAAAAAGAUAAUUUCUCAACGAAUAGUUUCCCGUUGUAAACCUCUUCACCAAAAUUUGGUGACUUGGGUAACCUGCGAUUUAACGAUGGGAUAUACCUGCCGAUGAUCCGUAAUUUUUCUACGAUUAAAUAGCAAUACCUAUUUCCGUCGUCAAUCUGUCGAUAAAUAAUUUAACGACGUAAUUAUUGAAGUUUACGAAGGAAAUUUUCGUUGUUAAUAGCGUAGUGAGUAGUGCAAGAUAUAAACAUAUAUCCAAAUUUGUAUUUAUUCACUGGGAAAAUUCUAAAUAAUAUAUAAUGAAAGACAAAUACUACUUUAAUUUAUUAAUCAUUAAAGGAAAUUUUAGUCUCUUUUCCAAUCUCGUUGAAUAAUUAACUUAGAGAAUUCACAUCCACGAGCCAAGCUUCCAGGCUUGCAAGUGGGCCCCAUCCGUCCGGGCCACUGGAUCUGCAGCAGCGAGCCCCAUCUCCUGUUGCCCAUAAUUUUGACGAUUUUUUUUCAUUUUAUGGCCAUCAUUUUUUGAUUGGGGUGUGUAGAAUACGCUGAUGAGGGGUUCGAGCGAGUCGGGCGCGCAAACGCUAUGCUAGCCCCAUUACAAAUGCUCUUAAAGAAAACAUAGAAAUCAUUUUUACUUAUUUACUACUCCACAUUAAUAUAUAUAGUCUAUAUGAUGUUGUCUGGUUUUUCAGAAUUCUAAACAUCAGUUUGAAAACUAAUGCGAGAGUGACAACUAAUAAAAUUUAAUUUUAAAAAAUACUAUACGCAAUUAGUACAAAUUUUGCUACUUUACUAGAUAUAAAUCCCGGAAACAGGCAAGUUUUUGCAGAGCAGAAAGUGUUUUACAAAACUUGGUCAAUGAAAAAAGGAGAAAUAUUUGAAAAUAAAGCAUAAAGGGACUAGCUAGUAUAGAUCAUUAUUUACAAACAAGAAGAUAGGAAACUAAAAAACAAAGAAAAAAAAAAAAAGAAAGAAGAGAGAAGAAAUUUAGUCAGGUUGUAGAAAUAGGAGAAGGGGCAGAGAUAAUCAUAAGAGUUGGGCAAUGACACUUGUAUAACAACUGUUUAAAGACAAAAGAAUAACAUGGAUGUAAAUGAUACAUGACAAAUAUUCAGCCAUAGUCUUAAAAUCCUAUAUUCAUAGCUGCAGUCUUAUGUACAUAUAGCCCUAGGCCUAGACUGAUUUGUCACCACUUCUCAAUUAUAUAGGAAAUAUAAAUGUAAUUAAGUUGUGUUUAAUUAACAAAAGGUUCAAGAAUAUUAAGUGCAACAUACUAUAUGAUUUGGUAACGCCUCUAGACCUACUCAGAAUAUAAUUUAUCAAUGACCUCAAUAAUUUAAUCUUUUAAUUUUUUUUUCUUCCACAUCUAGAAACUAUAAUUUAUUUAAAUUCUACAAUUUUUAUACUUUAUCAAUAAUCCACUACAAUCUAAAUAGUUUUUCUUUUUUUAUUAUUUAUUAUCAUAUUUUUUAAUGACUUAAUAUAUUAAAAUACCCACUUCCUUUUUUAAUUAUAAAAUGCCAAAUGGCACUUUUUUAUUUGAUUGUGUAAUAGGUUGGUCCGCAGAAUGCAAACACAAUCGAUUGGUGUAGAAGUUAAUAUUUUAUCUUUUUUUCUAUUUAAAAUUUUUGUCCCUAUUCUACAACCGGUUGCGUUGGAUUGUGAGAAAACAUAGCCACACAAAAUAACAAACUGAGUAAACAAUUUCUGUUUUUUAUUUUUUUGGUGGUUUAUUUUUGUGCUUAAUUAUGAAUUAGGAGAAUCUUGAUUGAUUUGGACUGUUCCUAAACACUUAAAUUAACAAAAGGAUAGAUUGCAGUGUAGCAANCGCAUGAACUCAAAGCCCUUCACCUGAAUAAGAGGAAAUUAAGCAGUACUAUCAUCAAAACAACGCAUAUAUUAGCUGAAAUCAUGAUCGUAUAAUUAAAAAUGGGUCCAAAUUGAUAAAUUAAAAAAAAGCAAGAAUCUAGCAUGACUAUAUGGGAGAGAGAGAGAGACAGAGAUGUAAAAAUAGUAUGCUAUAAGAAGUAAAAAGAAUAUAGUUAGAGAGGUACAGACACAAGAUAAUAAGAAUAUCUGUGUAUGUAUAUAUGUCUCCGGAGAGGAAGGAGUGAUGCUGUCAGAGCAUGACCUAGUUCGGGCUCAUUUUUCAUUUCUUUUAUAGAAACAGUUUCAUCUUCUUUCUAGAAGAAAGCGAAGAAGAAACAAACUAUCCCGACGUAGAUCAUGCUGGCAGCUUCACUUAUUCCUUUCCUAGAUACUUCAUCAAAUCAAGAAGCAGCUGCGAGCAUAUAAGAGAGAAAGAGAGAGAGAAUUUG
Molecule: long non-coding RNA, 4794 nt
Filed under: Salvia miltiorrhiza (redroot sage)
Lineage: Eukaryota; Viridiplantae; Streptophyta; Magnoliopsida; Lamiales; Lamiaceae
Description: long non-coding RNA (SMIL_LNC006115)
Source: RNAcentral